This 430-nucleotide ribosomal RNA is filed under the name uncultured Syntrophobacteraceae bacterium. RNAcentral's name for it is "bacterial SSU rRNA". It matches the Rfam family "Bacterial small subunit ribosomal RNA", at positions 355 to 776 of the family's 1533-position model. Lineage: Bacteria; Pseudomonadati; Thermodesulfobacteriota; Syntrophobacteria; Syntrophobacterales; Syntrophobacteraceae. The record is from RNAcentral.
UGGGGGAUAUUGCGCAAUGGGCGAAAGCCUGACGCAGCGACGCCGCGUGGGUGAUGAAGGCCUUCGGGUCGUAAAGCCCUGUCGAGGGGGACGAAUCAGCCUGGCCCUAAUACGGUCGGGCCUUGACGGUACCCCUAAAGGAAGCACCGGCUAACUCCGUGCCAGCAGCCGCGGUAAUACGGAGGGUGCAAGCGUUGUUCGGAAUCACUGGGCGUAAAGGGCGUGUAGGCGGCCCGCUAAGUCUGAUGUGAAAGCCCGAGGCUUACCCUCGGAAGUGCAUUGGAGACUGGCGGACUAGAGUCCCGGAGAGGAAGGUGGAAUUCCUGGUGUAGCGGUGAAAUGCGUAGAUAUCAGGAGGAACACCGGAGGCGAAGGCGGCCUUCUGGACGGUGACUGACGCUGAGACGCGAAAGCGUGGGGAGCAAACAGG